GUGUCAGCAGCCGCGGUAAAACGUAGGAGACAAACGUUAUCCGGAGUUACUGGGCGUAAAGGGCGUGUAGGUGGUUGUGUAAGUUCGGCGUGAAAUCUCUCGGCUUAACCGGGAGUGGUCGUCGGAUACUGCACGACUAGAGGACGGUAGAGGCGUGUGGAAUUCCGGGUGUAGUGGUGAAAUGCGUAGAGAUCCGGAGGAACACCAGUGGCGAAGGCGACACGCUGGGCCGUACCUGACACUGAGGCGCGAUAGCAUGGGGAGCAAACAGGAUUAGAAACCCCCGUAGUCC
This 292-nucleotide ribosomal RNA is filed under the name uncultured bacterium. Its description in RNAcentral is "partial 16S ribosomal RNA". It matches the Rfam family "Bacterial small subunit ribosomal RNA", at positions 505 to 796 of the family's 1533-position model. The record is from RNAcentral.